Long non-coding RNA from Salvia splendens (bonfire salvia), 1060 nucleotides. RefSeq lists it as uncharacterized. Lineage: Eukaryota; Viridiplantae; Streptophyta; Magnoliopsida; Lamiales; Lamiaceae. The record is from RefSeq and is a predicted model, not a curated record. The transcript is spliced from 3 exons.
AGUCAUCCGUUUCUCGUCGAUAAUAAACGAUUGGAUGGCGGAGACCCUCAAGCAAAGGGAGGACACAGAGCGUGACCAGUACGGAACAGGGAGGUUGGAGGCCCGAAUUGACAAGGAGAAGUUUCUUCAGGAGGAGGAAGUAAGGAGGUUGGAAUCGUUGAACAUGGGAGAAGGAGGAGCGCCCAGUAGGUAUAGCGCGAAGCGAAUCAGAGAUCAAUUUAUUGCUUCAAGCUCGCUCAUGGCCCACGCAAUUUUGACGUGGGUAGAUGAUUUCAAAAGAAUACUUGUUGAGUUGCUAGAUGAUGAGUGCUUCCGAGUAGGCAGUCAGAUAGGAAAUAAAUUGUUGGGAUUGGAGGAUGAGAAUGUAGUGGAAGAUGAUGAAAUUGUAACAAAAUUGACGCAGACAAGGGAUGACGAAGAAUAGUACAACCCGGAAUGGAUUGAAGAGAUGGAGAAGAUGAUGGUGGCAUACGACAAGAAGAAGAUGAUUAAUAGCAGCUUCGCUAGGCCAUCGUUUGUGUUGGAUAGGUUCGAUUGUCUUGACCCCUUUGCUACACAACAAACACAUGGGGCAGAGGGUAGUGGUGGUGGAGAGGAAAACAACAAUGAUGAGAGAGCACAUGAUGCCCAGUUGUUGGUCAACCGGGAGUUGAUGAUCAACCAGGAGACAUUCCAAUGCACGAGCCAAGAGGUUAUGAUAUCCCCGAUAUCAUAUCAAAGGAUGAUGGUGUAGCCGGACUUAAAGUCCCAUCUGAAAUGCAUACUUCAGUCGGUGCAACUGGGACAUCAUCAGAUAUGGCAGCUGGUGGGGAAGUGCUGAGCAAGACUGGCGUCUGAGACAAGAGUUGAAGAUGGAGGUGGUGCAAUGCUGGUACCGGAUCUAAGAGUAAAACCCAAACAGAGAAAGCCACCAAAAAAGAGUGCAGCGGUGGAUAAGAGUGUCAAGAUACAUGCCUCGGCUAAGGGGGAACGCGGUGAGAUUCAAGCUGACAAAACAACACAGCCCAUUAAGGAGGGAGCUCCUAAGGGAGGGAAGGGAAAACAACUUGCCAUUCCAAAG